RNAcentral lists this ribosomal RNA (465 nucleotides) under uncultured bacterium. RNAcentral describes it as "partial 16S ribosomal RNA". It matches the Rfam family "Bacterial small subunit ribosomal RNA", at positions 28 to 507 of the family's 1533-position model. The record is from RNAcentral.
GACGAACGCUGGCGGCGUGCUUAACACAUGCAAGUCGAACGGAAAGGCCCCUUUGGGGGUACUCGAGUGGCGAACGGGUGAGUAACACGUGAGUAAUCUGCCCUUGACUUCGGGAUAACUUCAGGAAACUGGGGCUAAUACCGGAUAGGAAUCCUUGCUGCAUGGUGGGGGUUGGAAAGCUUCGGCGGUUUUGGAUGGACUCGCGGCUUAUCAGCUUGUUGGUGGGGUAGUGGCUUACCAAGGCUUUGACGGGUAGCCGGCCUGAGAGGGCGACCGGCCACAUUGGGACUGAGAUACGGCCCAGACUCCUACGGGAGGCAGCAGUGGGGAAUAUUGCACAAUGGGCGGAAGCCUGAUGCAGCAACGCCGCGUGCGGGAUGACGGCCUUCGGGUUGUAAACCGCUUUCAGCAGGGGCGAAGCUUGUGGUGACGGUACCUGCAGAAGAAGCACCGGCUAACUACGUG